GCACUUCUGAGGAGUACCAUAAUAGGACGAAACGGCCGUCCAGUGC
Non-coding RNA from Schistosoma mansoni, 46 nucleotides. NCBI's taxonomy places the organism in Eukaryota, Metazoa, Platyhelminthes, Trematoda, Strigeidida, Schistosomatidae. The record is from Rfam.